UACGUAGGGUGCGAGCGUUGUCCGGAAUUAUUGGGCGUAAAGGGCUCGUAGGCGGUUUGUUGCGUCGGGAGUGAAAACUCAGGGCUUAACCCUGAGCCUGCUUCCGAUACGGGCAGACUAGAGGUAUGCAGGGGAGAACGGAAUUCCUGGUGUAGCGGUGAAAUGCGCAGAUAUCAGGAGAACACCAAUAGCGAAGGCAGCUCGCUGGGACGUUACUGACACUGAGGCGCGAAAGCGUGGGGAGCGAACAGG
Molecule: ribosomal RNA, 252 nt
Filed under: uncultured bacterium
Lineage: Bacteria
Description: partial 16S ribosomal RNA
Rfam family: Bacterial small subunit ribosomal RNA
Source: RNAcentral